This 426-nucleotide ribosomal RNA is filed under the name uncultured Enterobacteriaceae bacterium. RNAcentral's name for it is "bacterial SSU rRNA". It matches the Rfam family "Bacterial small subunit ribosomal RNA", at positions 356 to 774 of the family's 1533-position model. Lineage: Bacteria; Pseudomonadati; Pseudomonadota; Gammaproteobacteria; Enterobacterales; Enterobacteriaceae. The record is from RNAcentral.
GGGGAAUAUUGCACAAUGGGCGCAAGCCUGAUGCAGCCAUGCCGCGUGUAUGAAGAAGGCCUUCGGGUUGUAAAGUACUUUCAGCGAGGAGGAAGGCAUUAAGGUUAAUAACCUUAGUGAUUGACGUUACUCGCAGAAGAAGCACCGGCUAACUCCGUGCCAGCAGCCGCGGUAAUACGGAGGGUGCAAGCGUUAAUCGGAAUUACUGGGCGUAAAGCGCACGCAGGCGGUUUGUUAAGUCAGAUGUGAAAUCCCCGAGCUUAACUUGGGAACUGCAUUUGAAACUGGCAAGCUAGAGUAUGGGAGAGGAUGGUAGAAUUCCAGGUGUAGCGGUGAAAUGCGUAGAGAUCUGGAGGAAUACCGAUGGCGAAGGCAGCCAUCUGGCCUAAUACUGACGCUGAGGUACGAAAGCAUGGGGAGCAAACA